RNAcentral lists this ribosomal RNA (1386 nucleotides) under Triticum aestivum (bread wheat). Its description in RNAcentral is "partial small subunit ribosomal RNA". The record is from RNAcentral. Lineage: Eukaryota; Viridiplantae; Streptophyta; Magnoliopsida; Poales; Poaceae.
AUGGCGGCGUUCACGGAGGAGGAGAGGGCGGUGGACGACGCGCUGGGCUACCCCAGGGCCUACGGCAGGCUGUGCCGCGCCGGCAGCGCGCUCGGUCUCCCCUACGCCCACGGCCCGCCCGGCGCCUUCCUCCCCUACGUCCUCCAGCCCCACGAGGCGCUGCUGGCCAAGGACCUGAACGAGACGUUCCCGGUGGUGGACGCGGAGGCGGCGCCCACCGCCAACCCGCGCGGCUUCCCCAACCUGCUCUGGAAGCAGCUCCACCACCUCGGCAACGCCGGCUUCGACCCGGCGCUCUUCCGGGUCGACACCUACGGGAACGUGCUCUACCUCCACGCCGACGCCGCCUCGCCCCUCGCCUGGGACGUCCACCACUGGUUCCCCUGCGGCCGGGGAGGGAAGACGGUUCCGGGCAACCUGCGGAUCAUGCAGCUGCAGGCGUCCAGGAAGAAGCACAACAAGCUGGAGUUCCUUGUCCCCUGGUGGGAUCUGCAGCUCGGCAUCUCCGUCGACCAGUUCCUCUCCAUCUUCGCCUCCAAGAACACCGACUUCAGCAACAGAGCAUUCACGUUCCUCUUCGCCGACGGGGCCAGCGAGGAGCUGAGCUCGCUGCAGGCGGUGGAGGCGCACGCGUUCCCGCACCAUUUCGCCGACAUGAAGAAGAAGGUGGGCCUCGCGCCCGCCGCCAUCGUAUCUGCCAGGGGCUCCGACAGUUCGGUGCUCAAAUCAGUUGACGCCAACAGACCAGUGAGGUCCAAUUACCCCCUGAUCGCUGCAAAGAAGUUCUCCGGCGAAAAGGACAAGAACUUGGCAGCCCACGGCGGCCAUGGUGGUAACUCGAUGAUGAAAGAGAACAACAACCCAGAUGUUGACGGCUACAUCAGCAAUCCUUACCUGUCCAUAGCCAUGGCUAGGGACUCGCUGAGGCAAAGAGAAGAGGCGAAGAAGAAGCAAGCUGAGCUCACUGAACUGGAGAAUGAGGCAACCGAGAUGCAGCAGAAGAAUGAGGAGGAGAGGGUAGCCAUCCAGGACCUGGAGGUUCAGCUGAUCAAGAGGAGUCGGCGAGUGGAGAAGUGCCGUCGCUUGGCAGAUGCCCAGGCCAACUACAAGACAGUGCUCGAGAAGAUGAUCAGAGACGCCAUGCACCAGAGUGUUGUGUACAAGGAACAACUCAGGCUGAAUCAGGCUGCAACCAGCACUCUGAUGGCGAGACUGGAGGCACAGAGAGCCAUGUGUCACUCAUCUGAAACCGAGCUCCGCAAGAAGUACCAGCACAGGGAUGAUCUGGAGAGGCAGGUGAAGCCUUUAAUUGAUCAAGCAAGGAAGAGGUACCAGGUUGACGAUGAAAUCCCAGAGGAAAGGCACUGUGAGAGUUUCAGGUACUAG